UAACCUGCCCAAGAGAUCGGGAUAACACCUGGAAACAGAUGCUAAUACCGGAUAACAACAGAUGAUGCCUAUCAACUGUUUAAAAGAUGGUUCUGCUAUCACUCUUGGAUGGACCUGCGGUGCAUUAGCUAGUUGGUAGGGUAACGGCCUACCAAGGCGAUGAUGCAUAGCCGAGUUGAGAGACUGGUCGGCCACAUUGGGACUGAGACACGGCCCAAACUCCUACGGGAGGCAGCAGC
RNAcentral lists this ribosomal RNA (239 nucleotides) under uncultured Lactobacillus sp. Its description in RNAcentral is "partial 16S ribosomal RNA". It matches the Rfam family "Bacterial small subunit ribosomal RNA", at positions 122 to 355 of the family's 1533-position model. The record is from RNAcentral. Lineage: Bacteria; Bacillati; Bacillota; Bacilli; Lactobacillales; Lactobacillaceae.